Molecule: RNA transcript, 4419 nt
Organism: Pan troglodytes (chimpanzee)
Lineage: Eukaryota; Metazoa; Chordata; Mammalia; Primates; Hominidae
Gene: SYT6
Gene name: synaptotagmin 6
Exons: 9
Source: RefSeq, a predicted model, not a curated record
CGUCCUUCCCCCACCCCUCUCGCCCCUAUAACUCGCUCCCUCCGUCCCUCUCGGACUCGGACUCGGGGCCGGUGCGCGACUGAGCUGGCGCCUCUAGCCGACUUUGCCAAGAGGGCGCCUCCUGCCCGAUCCGCGCUGACCCUGCGCGGGACGCAGCCCCAGGCGGCUGCCUAGCCGAGGCGGGAGCCCGAGCUGAGUCGAGCUCGCCGGAGCGGGGUCUUGCUUCGAUGUUGAUGGCUGCUGACUGAUCAGUUUGGUGGUUGCUGGUGGCUGGAGUGGCUGUGGCAAUUUCUUAAGACAACGCUGUGCUGGAUGCCCUGGAGGAACAAGGAGGCCUCCAGUCCCUCUUCUGCUAAUCCCCCCUUGGAAGCCCUCCAGAGCCCCAGCUUCAGAGGCAACAUGGCGGACAAGCUGAAGGACCCCAGCACCCUGGGCUUCCUGGAGGCGGCCGUGAAGAUCAGCCACACGUCCCCAGAUAUCCCAGCUGAGGUGCAGAUGUCGGUCAAGGAGCACAUCAUGCGUCACACACGGCUGCAGCGGCAAACUACAGAGCCAGCGUCAUCCACCAGGCACACGUCCUUCAAGCGCCACCUGCCAAGGCAGAUGCAUGUCUCCAGUGUAGACUAUGGCAAUGAGCUUCCACCAGCAGCAGAGCAGCCCACCAGCAUUGGCCGCAUCAAGCCUGAGCUCUACAAGCAGAAGUCAGUGGAUGGGGAGGAUGCCAAGUCUGAGGCCACCAAGAGCUGCGGGAAGAUCAACUUCAGCCUACGCUAUGAUUACGAGACCGAGACCCUGAUUGUGCGUAUCCUGAAGGCUUUUGACCUCCCUGCCAAGGACUUUUGUGGAAGCUCUGACCCUUAUGUCAAGAUCUACCUCCUGCCUGACCGCAAAUGCAAGCUGCAGACCCGGGUGCACCGCAAGACCCUGAACCCCACCUUUGAUGAGAACUUCCACUUCCCUGUGCCCUAUGAGCAGCUGGCUGACCGCAAGCUGCAUCUCAGUGUCUUCGACUUUGACCGCUUCUCCCGCCAUGACAUGAUUGGCGAGGUCAUCCUGGACAACCUCUUUGAGGCCUCUGACCUGUCUCGGGAAACCUCCAUCUGGAAGGAUAUCCAAUAUGCCACAAGUGAAAGCGUGGACUUGGGAGAGAUCAUGUUCUCCCUUUGCUACCUGCCCACAGCAGGCAGGCUCACCCUCACAGUGAUUAAGUGUCGGAACCUCAAGGCGAUGGACAUCACAGGCUAUUCAGAUCCCUAUGUGAAAGUGUCCUUGCUCUGUGAUGGGCGGAGGCUGAAGAAGAAGAAAACAACCAUAAAGAAAAACACUCUCAAUCCUGUCUACAAUGAGGCCAUCAUCUUUGACAUUCCCCCAGAAAACAUGGAUCAAGUCAGCCUGCUCAUCUCAGUCAUGGACUAUGAUCGAGUGGGCCACAAUGAGAUCAUAGGAGUCUGUCGUGUGGGGAUCACUGCUGAAGGCCUGGGCAGGGACCACUGGAACGAGAUGCUGGCAUACCCCCGGAAGCCCAUCGCACACUGGCACUCCUUGGUGGAGGUAAAGAAAUCCUUCAAAGAGGGAAACCCUCGGUUGUGAUUUCAUUCACGUGGAUGCUGCAAGCAGAGAGACUGCCACCUGGAGUUAGGAUGGCAGGGCCGAGCUGCUAGCUUCGACAGUGAGAGCUCGUGCCCAUCUCCGAAACCACCUCCGACACCAUGAGAUGUGCAGCCAAGUAACACAAAUGGGACUCAGCAAUGUUCUCUUUGCACUUGUUCAACCGUCUAAACAGUGUUGUGCAGUCGCAGCGGUGGCAGCAGCGGCAGCCGUCCGUCACUCCAGAGUCUUACCUGCUCCUGUGUAGGUCAAGGCUGAGACACUUGUCAUGUGGUCAGAUCUGUCUUAGUCUUUUGUGUCUCCCAAGGUGAUGUUUUUGUGGUUUUUCACUUUUUAUGGGUCUGCUGGUAAGAAAAGGGAAAAAAAAAAAGAGUAGGAAAAGACAAAGGGUGGAAAGCCCAGAAGUUGGUUCUAGAAAAUACAAGGUACAGUUUUUUGGAAAGAGGUGGAUUGAGUUUCUGAAAUGCUGUGUCUCCAGCAAGCUCCACAACCCUGGAAAAGGAGGAGGCGUGGUGGGACUGCGGCUGCAUUUUCAGUGCCCUGCAGGAAUGGGGUGAAUCCAUGGAAGAGCCUUUGUGAGGUGAAUUACUAGUCUUUGAAGCUCUUCGCUGGCAGGACAUAAACCACGCUGGGACCCUCAGUCCCGUGUUGAAAUCCCAAGACCUCUGAGGCGCUUGUGAGCCUUCAGCUGAUGUGCAGGGUUCCUCGCUCCCCUUCCUCGCUGGCUUUCCCCAUGAAUUGAAAACGUCUUGAUUCCUCAUGGGAACUUAGUCACUUUCUUUAGGAAUGAUUCAGCCGAAACUAAACACGCCAUAUGUUUUCUGAUGCGCCACAGUUAAUGAUCACAUUUGUUUGAAAACAGGAUCUUUGUCCUCAGAAAUAAUCUUGAUUGUAAAGUAAGAGAGAAACAUAUGUUCUGGAAUGAUUUCUGCAUUAUACAUAGCUUUAUAAUUCCAUGAAGUAUCAAGCUGCUGUUUAAAAUGCCUAAACAGAUUAAAGAAAAACCUAGAUUAAAUGUUCUUUUCCAAAUGGGGAGUUUUGAAAUCCAAAUAGCAGUUUGAGUCCAUCUUUCUAUGAAGAGUAUGUUUUUGAUUGAAACCGAGUCAGCGUAAGCCUAUUUCAGCCCCUUUGGCUCUUUGACAAUAUUCAUCUUAAACUUUAGUUCUAUAAAUUACUAAGUACUUCAGUGUUGUUUGUUUCAGUGGUUGUGAGGGUUUCUUGUUUCCUUUAGAUCUUUACCUUAGGCCAAACUCAGUUUAGGAAAAAAAAAAUUGUUUGAACUAUUCAGUGUUGUAAUAGCACAUUUCUGUUGAGUUAAUAGUGGUCUUCCCACCAACCCCUAAAACCAGGUUGAUUUGCUCAAUCUCAGUUUGUAUAACCCCAGUAAGCGCAUGGAGGUGAGUUUCUACUUCGACUUGUGGCGACACCGUGCCAGUUUCCAGAGAUGUGUGUACUACUUGCAAGAGGCAAGUCUGCUGAAGAACCCCUUCUUUUAACAGUGGAAAAUCAAGAACAGAAAAUCUGUUCACACACCUGUGUCUUAUUCUUUAUAUAUGUUACAUGGUAGAGGAGCAGCGACCAAUAAAGUAUCCCUCAUUUUAAACCAAGUUGUCAGAUUUCUCUGCUGAUAGAACUCUGCAUAGUAUCUUCUAGCCCUAAAAAUGACCAGGUUGGGCAUGAGUUAACAGGAUAUUGUGGCAAAAGGAAUUUUCUGCUUAGAAAAGUAAAUGUAGAUAAACCUAAACUCCACCCUGUACUGAGCCUUAGGCUAGGGACUCGUGUAAAGAUGACUUUUCUCCCCAGAUAUCUUGUCGUUGACAGGCCUUCCUAGUCUGGUAGUCCUGCAUUUGGGUGUUCUCCUGAGAGUGAGAAAAAACCCAAGGUCAUGACAAGAUUCCUGGCAGGUGACAGACUUCAUUAUGAUUCUGACUCUAGACUGACCCCAUCAAGAUAGUCGUUUCCAUCAGUGAACAGAUGCUGAAGGCCUUGCAAUUACAAAGGAGACAACUGAGUUCCCUGGGUCAUAAGGAGUCCAGAAAUUAGUGUGAGAAGGUCCUUCUGGAAGUGAACUCAAAAUUCAUGUCCAGCUGUCAUCGUUAAACCCUUAGGCAGGUCAGUAUAACCCAUUCUAACCUCUUGGAGAAGGGAGUGUGAUCAAUGUGAAUCACAAUAGUAUUGCUCAUCUGAGACAUUCCUCUUAUAUCCAAGCAGCUAUCUCCCAUGAGUGAACAUCCCAGUGGUUUCAGAAAUCAUUUCCUGAACAGAUUCUAGCCAGCCCCCACACCACCCUGGCCAACUGCAACCGCUGCUGCUCUAGCAGUCUGGGUCAAUUCCUACAGGCUUGGGAGCCCACCCCAGGGAGGCUUUUAUCUCCUGCAGCCUCAUCCCCAGCACCCUCAAGGUAGACUAGUCCUCAGCCUGAAUCAUGAAUGAAACCUGAACAUCUGCCAACUUCAUUAUCUAGCCCAGUAUCUCUUCCCUCACAGAGAAGAAAAAAAUGAAUUACAAAGUUGAUCCAUUUGUUGGCUUUCUCUGGCCGGAGAAACCUCUCGGGUUGUUGCUGUGAGCUUUGAUGAAGUUGUGAUAACCAGGGCCAUUUGCACAUAGGUUUUUUUAAAAAACAUGAAAAGUUCCCUUCUCCUUUAUUUAGCAGUGUUUCUGGGCUGAAAGACGCCCUCCUCCCCCUCUGCGCUUACCCAGGACGUUAAUUAAUUGCAUUGUCAUUUAAAAUAUUAUGUUGUUAAUUACUCGUUUGUGUCUUCCCACCCGUGUCACAGCCUGGAGUUUUUAUUCAAUUAAAUCUCUGUCUCU